AGGUCGAUCUCAGGGAUGCGGCGUCUGCAAGGGGCUCACAGCAAGAGCCAGCUCCGUGCUUGUCUGGAUGCUCUGGUGGUAAACCAUUGGAUAUUUCUGCCACUGCUGUUCAAUUUGCAUCACACUUUCUCCUGCCAGACUUUCUGCAGCCUUAAAAGACCCAUUGAACUUGAGCUCAUGGCUAGCUCUUUCUGUACUUAAAGAAGAGAGAAGUGUCUGUAUUCCCACCUAAUUUGGAGUGCAAAGAGAUUAGCAAGACCUACUGGCAUAGGAGACUGGAAGUGAGAGGAGGAAUGACAAAUCAGGCGCUUUCCCUCACUGGAAUACUCGAGCCGGACACUUCUCCACCAGCGAUAUUGUUCGGGCCGCGGCUGUUGCCUGCUCGCC
Pseudopodoces humilis (Tibetan ground-tit) is the source of this 387-nucleotide long non-coding RNA. RefSeq lists it as uncharacterized. The record is from RefSeq and is a predicted model, not a curated record. Lineage: Eukaryota; Metazoa; Chordata; Aves; Passeriformes; Paridae.